Molecule: long non-coding RNA, 397 nt
Filed under: Equus caballus (horse)
Lineage: Eukaryota; Metazoa; Chordata; Mammalia; Perissodactyla; Equidae
Description: lncRNA (ENSECAG00000055904.1)
Source: RNAcentral
CUAAGACAUUGGAUAAAAUCAUUCUGGACCCCAAUAUGAACCUUUGGAAAGGAGGGUACUAGGCAUAUGACCUCCUAGGUUCUUUCAAUUCAGUCAAGUGGCCAUAUAAAGAGGGUUCUGUCAACAGAGGGCCCAUAAGAUUAUAAUGGAGCUGAAAAUUUCUAUCGCCUAGUGAUGUUGUAGCCAUCCCUUCUCCUGCAGUUGUUUUUUCUUGUCUCUUGCCUUUUCAGCCUUCACGUUCACUCACCACUCACCUACUGAGCAACUUCCAGUCCUGCAAGCUCUACUCAUGUCCAUCAGAUGGUUUUGGAUGAUGUACCUAUAACGACAAGAGCUUAAGAGUUCACUCCAAGUUCUUCAUAAAACAAAACAAAAGGCCUGAGAGGCAGAGUCUUGG